CCUAUUUCAGGUUUAUAAGACCUCUUUCAGCAGAUCACAUCAGAAGCCAGGAAAUGUAUAGCUAGGAGAUGUCAAAAGCCCAUAUGAGGAGUGGACCAAGCAGCAGUGGCGGUUUCUCCUGGCAUCUUUUUUUUUUAAAGCUUUAACUUAGCAGGGGCAUGGACUUUAUAGCACUUUUUCAACUUUUUGCUUUGCUUUGGAUAAGAAAUCCUUACCUUUAAAAAAAGCUUCUAGUCUCCAUAACCCCCAAAGUACUGCUUAUUUGUUUGAAGAAUCCAGCCAUCGUAGUGCUUUAGUCAUUAUCGUAAACAUUCAUGAUAGGGCAAGGAUUUUUAAAAGGAUUUAGCAAGGAUUCUUGCUUCUGUAGUCAUCAAGGUGAACAGAAGCAUCCUACACAACCACUAAGGGCUCUAUGUUUGUGUCAUGCCUCUUCAAACACCGAGGAGUUGAACAUGCUUCCAGUGAUUUGUCUCCGUAAUGCCUUCUUCCUUUAUUUGGCCUUUCUUUCUUUCUGUACCUUCAAGUUCUUGAUUUUUAAAAUUCCAACUCUAGAGAAAACCAAUAUAUGGUGGUGCUGGGCUUUGAAGAUAGCAUAUCAGACGCCUUGGUUCUGUUUGUACACUUAGCCUUACAUUUCAGGAGGAGGCUUUUCAUUAGGGGCUUAAGCUAGCUCCUUUGGCUUUUAAAAAAAUUUUUUUUCAAAUUUCUUCAUUACCUAAGGGAGCCUGCAUCUAAAUUUCUCAACUAGUUCAGCCUAGCUGAAUUUUCUAGUGUGUAAUACACUUUGCUUCCUUCUUAUUGGUGAAAACCAGGGGGAUGAGUGGCUUCCAUGGAGAGAUUUCCUGAUUUCUCAGGGAGGAAAAAAGUGAUGACAUUUACCACUACUUUUAUGUUUUUCCCCUUUUUCCAAAUUGAUAAGGAUUUCUGGUUCCUAGUGAUGCGGGAUUGGGCAACAGUGCAGAACUGCCAGUCAUGCCGUAGGCCGUGAAGAAAGAAUUGCCAGAACCUACAGAUACCCUGCUACUUGCUUCACGUGGAUGCUCAGUGCCCAACAGCCAUCUUAAUACAUUAAACCAGUUUAAAAAAUACCUUCCACGUGGAGAAAAACAUGUCUUUUUCUCGCCUCAACUUUAUCCACAUGAAAUGUGUGCUCAUGGCUGGGCGCAGUGGCUCAUGCCUGUAAUCCCAACACUUUGGGAGGCUGAGGCAGGCAGAUUGCUUGAGGCCAGGAGUUCGAGAACAGUCUGGCCAACAUGGCGAAACCUCAUCUCUACUAAAAUUACAAAAAUUAGCCGGGCAUGGUGGCACAUGCCUGUAAUCCCAGCUACGUCAGGAGGCUGAGGCACAGGAAUUGCUUGAACCCAAGAGGCAGAGGAUGCAAUGAGCCAAGAUCACACCACUGCACUCCAGCCUUGGCAACAGAGGGAGACUCUGUCUCAAAAAAAAAAAAAAAAGAGGUGUGCCCAGGCCCCUAGCCAUUGCCAUGUGCCCAGCCAGAGAGCCAAAUUAGAGGGCUGGCUUCCCUAUCACACAGAAGAAAUGCUAGUGCUAGCCAAUGAUCCCUUUGCUUUUAAUGUAUAGAAAAUACUGUUGUUCCUUUUGUCAUUUCCAAUGACAUCUGUUUUCUAAGCAGCUCUUUUCUAGGGAGGAAACCAAAGGGGCUAGGUUAAGCCCCUAAUAGAAAUGUUUUUUCUAAUCUCUGGUGAGUCUGGAAGUGUCACAUUCACAGUCCACCCUUGGGAGUGGCUUGGUGGAGCUGGGGACAAGGUUUUGUUUACUACAUAGUGUACAUGAUAAAUGGCCUUAAACUGUGAUUCUUUCUGGUAGGAUAAGUUAUAAUACACUGACCCUAAAGAAUGCAAUGGCUUUUAAACUGCAGUUACUGUGUUCUUAAUGAAGCAAUACCCAAAGCUCUGUUCUUUUGGAGCACUUGAGGGGAGGUUGAAUGAAAGGUACAAAUAAGAGCAGUACCUUGAUCUUAUGCUUUCUGAGUGUCCUGCCUUGUUGCCAUCUGCAUGGAUGAGUGAAUGCUUCUAUGCACGAGGAGACUCAAGCCAACUCAGAGUCUGCUUUUUCCAACGCUAUUCCCAGGUUUCUUUUGCAAAGCUUGGUCAUUUGGCCCAGGUCUUCCUGGAAAGUGGAGUACAUGUCACUGACUAGGGUGGUGUGGUGUCUUUACCCUUAACAUUAAGUCUUGUUACCUCAGUGAUGUGAAGCCAAUGGUUGGAAUUAUAAAAAGCAUCCUUGCUGGUUCUUCACAGGACACUGGAACCCACCCUGUCGAUUCAGCUAGCAUGUCCACACAGUCUUGAUGAUCCCUCUCUGUAACAGGCAGCUAACAUUAAGAGAAGGGGGAAAGAGAAGAAGAGAGCAAUAGCUUAUGGGAGAGCUGAGAUCUUACUUCGUUGACCCAUAUUUUUCCCCUGACCAAGUUACCUGUAAACUGGAAUUUGCAAGGGGAUGCUGUGAUGAUAACCCCUUUCUAUUGCUGUAAUGUUCAUAUAACCUGGGAAACUGAGAGAAGGGGAUGUGUAAAUAAAAGCUUAAACAUUUUAGUAAUGUGUUAAAAUGUCACUCUCUCUUACCCUGUUUCCCUUUUUUGCCAGAUGAUGAUUUUUUUAUUUUUAUUUUGUACUUUACUGGAUGACUGUGAAGCGAUGAGUAUUGGGUUGGGGUAGGUGUGUUGAUUUUGAGAGUGCAUGUUAAGAACUGGAGGGGAACUACUUGAGAUGACUUAAGAAGCAUCCCAUGCAACUAUCUUGUUUUGC
This 2768-nucleotide long non-coding RNA is filed under the name Pan troglodytes (chimpanzee). RNAcentral describes it as "long non-coding RNA NONPTRT005141". Lineage: Eukaryota; Metazoa; Chordata; Mammalia; Primates; Hominidae. The record is from RNAcentral.